UACGUAGGGGGCUAGCGUUGUCCGGAUUUAUUGGGCGUAAAGAGCGUGUAGGCGGCCAGGUAGGUCUGCUGUGAAAACUCGAGGCUCAACCUCGAGACGUCGGCGGAAACCAUCUGGCUAGAGUCCGGAAGAGGAGAGUGGAAUUCCUGGUGUAGCGGUGGAAUGCGCAGAUAUCAGGAGGAACACCAAUGGCGAAGGCAGCUCGCUGGGACGUGACUGACGCUGAGACGCGAAAGCGUGGGGAGCAAACAGG
RNAcentral lists this ribosomal RNA (253 nucleotides) under uncultured bacterium. RNAcentral's name for it is "partial 16S ribosomal RNA". It matches the Rfam family "Bacterial small subunit ribosomal RNA", at positions 524 to 776 of the family's 1533-position model. The record is from RNAcentral.